Hyaena hyaena (striped hyena) is the source of this 1428-nucleotide long non-coding RNA. RefSeq lists it as uncharacterized. The transcript has 2 exons. The record is from RefSeq and is a predicted model, not a curated record. NCBI's taxonomy places the organism in Eukaryota, Metazoa, Chordata, Mammalia, Carnivora, Hyaenidae.
CUUCCCAAUGCACAAUGUCAUUUACCAGUGUCCUCGACAAUGGACAGUGGAUGCCGACCCCGUCCACAACUUAGCACUUCGCACAGAUGAGCUCAGAAAUCCAGCAACGCGACUGUUCCUGAAGCACCUUCUACGGAGUCAGUGAGCUUAUUAACCCGCAGGCACCUAGAGCGGACUCGGGUCCGAAGCGGGAGGCGGGGGCCACGGGAGUACGCGUACCACGGUCACUAGGGUGAGUACACACAUCACCCAAGACAGCCCUGGAACGAGAAGUCCCAAGAUUUCCACGUCACAGAGGAGGUUCCACCAGUCACAGACCAACGGCAACAACCUCGGGAAAGAAAACUAGUUCAUGUAUUUAGCAGGUAAAAAGAGAGAUGACGGGAAGACAGAACACGGAUGAAACCAGGGGCUACAGGCGAGGCCAACAGAGCCACAAAGAUUCACCGCCUUCGCAGCGUAGGCUCAAACCUGCUCAAACUCACUUCCCCACUGAGCCUAAGGGACUGCCAAGGAACCCACCACUCCCGAGGAGGUUCGGUGGAGAGAUUCACGGACUGCCUGAAGCCCGCGCACAACCUCUAACAGCCAGGUCUCCCCAGCCCUACCUCGAGGCCUAAGCAAGCCAACCCUUGGGGACACUGGCUUCUUUCUCGCGUUUGCAAGCGGGCUAAGGGGAGCACACGCUAUGUCUGCACUGCUUAUCAGUCACGACCUGCCCCCCUCACGUCCCAGCACCCAGAGGCGGCCACAGUGCAGCUCCGGAACAGGGACACCGGACUUUCCCCAGAGAAGAGAUGGUAUUCCGGUGCCACGAUUCUCUGGCUGUAGCGUUUUCCCCCCACUACUGCCCUCCCUACCUCAGCCUCACACCCCCAUUUCAAACACAAUUCCCUUAUAUUCCAAACUGAUCAGAGGGCUGGCUAGGUGUGCUCCGGGUCCCCUCCUGCGCCUCCACCCACAGACAGGCUCACAGAACCCCCGCCCCCCCCCCCCAACGAUAGCACGUGGCAGCCUCAUGUUCAAUCAAGCCACUCACACUAGAGAAAUACUGGCCAUCUCCCCUCCUGACAGGAGACACAAGGCUGCGUAGGGCCCCCGGAUUCCAGGUGGGGAGUCUCCACUUAGGGACACACUCACAGAGACACUCCGGCGGUUCACACUACCACCACAGAAAGGUGUGUGUGCUCCACCCAAACGUUCCUGCGGGCUGCCCACAGGCGGGGACCCCGCUCUGACAGCACAGCUGGCCGCGAGAGAGCUGGCAUGUCCUGACCCCUUCCCAAGAAGGCAGUCCUUAAUGUCACUCAAGGCUCUUUUAGUACAAGCCCGAAGGAACCAAACAAAUCAAUCUCGGAGGAAUGGGUAAAGGAUGAGAGCAAAAAAUAAAACCGUCAACGAUUUUCCAGAGAGCAAGAAGACACUUAA